Astatotilapia calliptera (eastern happy) is the source of this 10517-nucleotide long non-coding RNA. The record is from Ensembl. Lineage: Eukaryota; Metazoa; Chordata; Actinopteri; Cichliformes; Cichlidae.
UACCUCAGAACUGCCGUCAAAGUGAACCAGCACAGGACUCUCAGAUGACCUGCUACACAGCUUUGUUUUUAAAUUUACAAGGCAAAAGAACAUGGAGAACAAAGACAGCAGGAUGACAACAGAAUGGAACUCAACAAUGGAAAACAGAAAGCAAUCAGAUAGCAAACAAACAAGAACUGACAUGAAAACCCAAAAAGAAACUUUAAAAAGACAAAGGCAACUGAUAUGUCAAGCAAUGGAGGAGAUCGAACAACUCUGGAGACAGACAGAAAGAAAGACAAAUGAAAUUGACUUCUUAAAGACAAAGACAGAGGGGCAACAGGAAGACAUUGAGAGACUGACAUCUGAAAAAAAUAAACAUCACCUACUAUUAAAGCAAUUUAACUUCCAAAUAAAAAAUAUAACUGAGAAACUCAAACAAAGCAAAAAUUCAGUUGCUAAGGAAAAAACAAACUUUCUGAAAACGUGGACUAAAAUAUAUCAAGAAAAGGAUACUCUGGACAGAAGACGUCAAUACUUCAUCAACGAGCGACACAAGCUAGACACUAUAAAAGCUAGUAAGACAGAAUCACCAAUAAGGGAGGAACCCAAAGAGCCCCUUAAUGAGCAGGUAAAGCGGGAACUGGAUAUACUGGAGAAUGCAACUGAGAAAAACAGGGAAAUAAUGCUUGAAGUAAAGAAAGUUAAAGAAAAAAUGGAGAAAACUAAAGCAAACAUACAGCAAGCAUUAAAAAGAAAUAAAAAGGACAUUUCAAAAAACAGUGAACAAAUUAACCACAUUAAACAUAUUAUGUAUGUAAAGAUCAACAUGGUCAAGCACAGAUGGGCAAGCAUUAUAAAACAGGCUGAAAUGAAGAAAAUUCACAUGUAUAAAGAAGGACAGAGAGAAAGAAACGAUGGAAAAGCCACAUUUGACACAGUGAAGAGAAAACUGUGUAGAAUCCAGGAAGAGAUGGAGAAACUUUGGGAUGUGCUGGAAGACAGUGAACAACAACUGGAAGUGACUCAAAGUGCAAAGCAGCAGCUAAUGGCAGAGAACAAUCACAUGAACAUCAAGAUGAAUAUUGAUUAUCAAAAGCAACAAGAUUCAGAUCUAAGCUUUAAAGUGACACACAUCCAGCCUGAAAGAGAUGAUUUAAAGAGAGUUGAAAUGAAACUAAAGACAGGAAGGGAAAAUGUAGAAAAAGACAAACCAAAUACUUACAUGCAGAAUUUGAUCUCUGAGGAAGAAGAAAACAAUGAAGUGCUUUGUAACAAGGGUGAAGAAACAAAGCAGAGCAUGAGGGACUUUACAGAAGUAAAGGCUCAAACGAAAUGGACAAAUUUUCGAGAAAAGCAAAAAAGAAGGGAGCUUGAGCGUUUGCUGGAGAAGAUAAGGAAAGAGAGGGAUGAGUUAGAAAUCAUGAAGACAAAAAUACAGCGACAAAAGGAAAGGGUUGAACAAAAACUGGAAAAUACUGUCACUGAGAUAAAAGGUAAAAUAGAAAAAACUGGUGCAGAAAUGAACAACACUUGGGAGAAAAUGCAGAGAACCCAAAGGGAGAUUAGUAAGAACCAGGAAGAAGCCAAGAACUAUAUGGAAAAACUGACAUCCAUGAAAACUUGGGUCAACAAAUGGAUAUUGGCACAAUCUACAAUCAAACAUACUUUUUCAGUGAACGCAUCCAAACUUCAAGAAUCACAGUAUGAAAUAGACACAGACUCCCUUGAGGAUCAAACAUCAGCAAUUCCAAAGGACAAAAAAGGGAAAAAAAGUAUAACAGAUACAACAUCAUUACAAAAUUCUGUAACAUUAGAUGAUCAGCAUCAAAAUAAAAAAAUAAAAGAACAACAGAAGGAGCAUUUUGAAUCCAAAUAUUGUUUUGCAGAAGGCAAAAAUGGGGAGCAGGACUUUUGCUUACAGAUGCGAACUGAAAUUCAUGAAGAAGUAGUGCAUGAUAAAACUGAAUUACUGAUAAUUGUAAGAGAAAGGGAAGAAGUGGAAAAACUGAUACGUAACCUAAAGCAGCAAGAGGGGGAAAUAAAGGAACAAAUAAAGUACACUAUUGAUAACAUGAACGAAAAAACUCAAGAUAUAAAAAGGCUCAUUUUGGAAAUAAAUGACCUGCAGAGGGCAGACACUGUAAUUACAGUCGGGGAAACUGAAAAUGCCCAGGAAGUAUUAACUAAGCUGUUGGAAGAAACUGAACAGAGAAAGAUUUUGAUGCUGAACACCAAAGUUUUCAAAAAUGAAAUAAUAAAAUAUGAAGUACAAGAGGGGGACGAUGCCAAAAAAAUAAAACAAGAGUCUAGCUUGAUAAGGCUUAAUGUUAACAAGCAAAAACUAAUUCAGAAAUCAGGAGAAGAGAUGAAAAAACAUGUUGAACACACCGAUGAAGAUAAAAAGGACAGAGGAGCCGAUAUACAAAGACUCAGGGCAGAGAUUUACAAAACACAAGAGAUUAUAAGAACGCUAAGAGGAGGACUUGAGAACCUAGCGGAAAAAAAUAACAUGGACAAAUAUCAACAGAAUGAAGGCAGUGAAAUUGAAGGAUUGCUAAAAGACAUCAAACAGUUUCAAGAGUUUUUGGAAAUUGUAAAAACCAAAAUAAAGCAAAGUGAAGUACAUAUGACAGAAGAAAUGAGCAAUAUAAAAUCAAUGAAAACUGCAGUGAAAAAGAAGAGAAGAGAAUUAGAUCAAAGAUUAGAAAAUACUUUGAAAGAGAGAGAUGGAUUAGACAUCUUUAAAAUAAAAAUGCAGAGGCAAACUGAACUGAUUCGGCAGAAUUUAGAAAAAAUGGCAAAAGUUAAGAGCACAGUCGAGAAAAUAGCUGCUAAGACCAGAAGGAAAAUUGAAGAGAUAGAAAUUAGUAUGAAGGAGACUGAAAUAAAACUAAGACAGUUUAAAGACCUUGACUGCAUUAACCUUAACUUGACAAAAGGCGCAAAACCAGACAUGGAACAUGGUAGUACACCUAAGCAAAGAACUGCUCUUGAAAUUUUCAAGACUGAAAUUAAGAAGACAAUGGACAAUAAAAGAGAUAAACUGACAAAAAACAAAAUGGACAAAGAAACUGAGGGAACAGAAAGCCUCAAACAAGUUAAUGAGAAACUGGAGGAGGUAAAACUUUCAUUAGACAGUCUGGGUCAAAAAAAUAAAAAAUCAGUUAGUGAGAAUGUAAAACAAAUAAUCAAGAGAGAAGAGACUGAGAUGACAGAACAGAUCCAAACAGCGAUAAAGAAUGAGAAAAUGGUUAAACAGCUAACUGAAACAGAAAUACAGGAGGAACAGGUGAACCAUUUGAGGGAGAAAACUGAAAGAAAAGAACAGGAGCUUGAUGACGGAGUACACAUGACCAAAAGGCAAAUAAGAGAAAUGGAGCUGCUGCAAUCAGAAUUGAAAAUAAAGGUAAAAGAAUUUGAGCGUUUUUUUAGAAAAAGUAUGAGAAAAAAGGAGGAAAUUGAAAUAAUGUGGUAUGAAAUACAACAAGAAAAGGAAGCAUUGAGGACCGAGAUCAAAAAGAAAAGAAGAGAAUUAGACCAAAGACUGGAGAUGACUAUGAGAAAAAGGGAUGAACUAGAAGUGUUAAGGGUAAAAUUGAAACGACAGAUGGAAGAGCUGGCUGAGGAGAAGCAGAGAGACCAUAAUCUGUUCAUCCAUCUACCCAAUGAACAUGAAAAACAUUUUGGAAGGAAAGAUGUGAAAAUGUUAAUGGAGAAAAUCAAAAACCACAGCUUAAAAGUUUCUCAGUAUACUAUUUACAUCCAAGACAUAAGAGACAAGUUUAAUUUACACAUGGGAACAAUUAGGACAGAGAUGAAAAUUCUAGAAAAUGUGAAUGCUCAUUUAGAAAAGGACAAAAAAGGAUUCAGAGAAGUUGAGGCUGAAAAUAAGAAUAUAACAAACAAAAUGAAGAGGUUAAAAUAUCAGCUUAAUAUACUCUUUGGAAGAGUUACCAUACAAGACACUGCAGAGAUGGAUGAAACAAUCAACAUCUGGGAAAAAAUCCAAAGAGAAAAACAGAAGCUUGAUAUGAGACUAGAAAAUAUUAAAAGGGAAAGACAAGAGAUAGAAGUUCUGGUGGUUGAGCUGGAGAUGAAGAAAAGAGAAAACCAACGUGUAAUCAAAAGAAGCAUUCAAAAAGAACAGAAGAUAAAAAGAAUAUGGGCUACUUUCAAAGAAGAAAGAACUGCCCUCGUGAGAGAAACAAAGCAGAAAAAGGAGGUUGAACAACGACGAGAGGAGAUCAUCAAACAUCAAGGUGAACAAGAAAUAAAGCAGAAGUUGCAAAAAGAAAAGAAAGGGAUGCAAAGUGAAAUUGAAGACAUGAGGAUGAAAGAAAAAAGGAAACAAAUUCAAAAACAAUGGGAACUAAUCAAGAAAUACUUAGGGGAAUAUAAAAAGGUAAUUAAAAACACUCAAUUCAUCAUUGGAAUAAUUCAGAAUGAAAAUAAACACAUGCAAGACCAAAAAAAUUUCUACAUGACCAAAAGGAAAGAAACACUGAAUAUUAAAAGUGAAUUAAAUAGGCAAAAGGAAAUUAUACGGUGUGCAUUAAAAAACAUACAACAAGAGCCAAAACAUGGGGAACAAGUGGAGACAAAAAUCAAGACGGAGCAAGGAAAGCAUGAAAAUGAAAGGGAAAAAAUAUAUGAGAUAGAAAAAGAUGCCUUGGAUGACUUAAGUGCAGACGAGAGUCAAGACAAAGAGGAUCUUGAAAGAGUGAAAGAGUUGUUGAAAAAGAACCAGAAACUUGACAUGAGAGGCUGUAAAAUCAAAAAAGAAAUAGACAUAUUAAAACAAAAAAAUGAAAACAUAAAAGAGGAAAGGAAAACAACUGAAAUAAAAGAAACUGAAAAAAAAAUGAAACUGAAAGAUUUCAAUAAAAUGUUUUGGGGCAAACAAAAAGAAAAACACAGUACUGAGUAUCUGACUGUAAAGAAAGAAUAUAAAAGAGAAACGACUAAGGAUGGUAUAAAAAGGGUGAUCUUACAAGACACAAAACAAGACUUGAUAAAAAAAGAGAUAAAAAAAUGUAACCAGGAAAAAGAAAAAGUCAUCCAGAUGAAAACUAGACGUGAGAAUAGAAAAGAACUGUUGUUGAAGGAAAGGAGAAAUAUGGAAGAAGAGCGGUCUGAGAUGGAAAUGAGAGGAGACCAAGUCAUGGAUGAAAUGAAAUUGCUAGAGAUUCUGAAAGUGAAACUUCAACAACUGAAGGAGGAUAUAAAAGCCAAAAUGGAGAGAUUACUACAAAAUGUUGACAACAGGUCAAGGCUGCAAACAGUGUUGGAAGAAAAACUUCCAACCCAAGACGAACUGAAAGAAAGCAUUCGCUGUUUCACUGAAAUGUUAGAGAGAGAAAAGGAAGGUGUGAGAAGUAUCCUUUCAGAAAUGGUCACCAAGAGAGAAAGCACAGAAAAUGAAUGGAAGCAGCAGUUUGAACUGGACAAACGAGAGCUUGAUAAAGUGAAAGAAGAUCUGAGACACGACAGAGAAGAUCUGGAGAGAGAAAGUGAGGUGCUGAAUAAAGAGAAAAUGGAUUUGAAGGUGUUGAUGUCUGACAUCAAGAAACAAUUUGAAAUAUUGGAAGAAAAGAAACAAAAUAUAAAAGAAGAACGAGACUCAAUGGAAACCAUAAAGCUUGAACUGCUCGAUAAGAUGGAACAUGUAAACAGGCUGUUACAUGAGACAAAUGACGAAAAAGCCAAGAUUAAAAAUUGUAUCCUUCAGGUUCAAACGGAAAAAGAAAGACUUGAAGACAUUUUAAGCAAGAUUUUCUUAACACAUAAUGAAGAAAAAGUCAAGGAAGAUGACCUCAGAAGUCAAACAAAAGAAGUGGAAAUCAUGAAAAAGGAAUUACAGAGUGAAAGAGCAAAAGUGGAGAGUCUGAUGAGGAAUCUGAAGAAGAAGCAAGAAGAGCUUGGGCGUGCAAAGGGAAUCAUGAGUGAAGAAAAAGAAGAGAUGAAAGAGAUGAAGACUGACAUUGCCAAAGAACGAGAACUGUUGUUGAAGGAAAGGAGAAAUAUGGAAGAAGAGCGGUCUGAGAUGGAAAUGAGAGGAGACCAAGUCAUGGAUGAAAUGAAAUUGCUAGAGAUUCUGAAAGUGAAACUUCAACAACUGAAGGAGGAUAUAAAAGCCAAAAUGGAGAGAUUACUACAAAAUGUUGACAACAGGUCAAGGCUGCAAACAGUGUUGGAAGAAAAACUUCCAACCCAAGACGAACUGAAAGAAAGCAUUCGCUGUUUCACUGAAAUGUUAGAGAGAGAAAAGGAAGGUGUGAGAAGUAUCCUUUCAGACAUGGUCACCAAGAGAGAAUGCACAGAAAAUGAAUGGAAGAAGCAGUUUGAACUGGACAAACGAGAACUUGAUAAAGUGAAAGAAGAUCUAAAACAUGACAGAGAAGAUCUGGAGAGAGAAAGUGAGGUGUUGAAUAAAGAGAAAAUGGAUUUGAAGGUGUUGAUGUCUGACAUCAAGAAACAAUUUGAAAUAUUGGAAGAAAAGAAACAAAAUAUAAAAGAAGAACGAGACUCAAUGGAAACCAUAAAGCUUGAACUGCUCAAUAAGAUGGAACAUGUAAACAGGCUGUUACAUGAGACAAAUGACGAAAAAGCCAAGAUUAAAAAUUGUAUCCUUCAGGUUCAAACGGAAAAAGAAAGACUUGAAGACAUUUUAAGCAAGAUUUUCUUAACACAUAAUGAAGAAAAAGUCAAGGAAGAUGAACUCAGAAGUCAAACAAAAGAAGUGGAAAUCAUGAAAAAGGAAUUACAGAGUGAAAGAGCAAAAGUGGAGAGUCUGAUGAGGAAUCUGAAGAAGAAGCAAGAAGAGCUUGAACGUGCAAAGGGAAUCAUGAGUGAAGAAAAAGAAGAGAUGAAAGAGAUGAAGACUGACAUUGCCAAAGAACGAGAACUGUUGUUGAAGGAAAGGAGAAAUAUGGAAGAAGAGCGGUCUGAGAUGGAAAUGAGAGGAGACCAAGUCAUGGAUGAAAUGAAAUUGCUAGAGAUUCUGAAAGUGAAACUUCAACAACUGAAGGAGGAUAUAAAAGCCAAAAUGGAGAGAUUACUACAAAAUGUUGACAACAGGUCAAGGCUGCAAACAGUGUUGGAAGAAAAACUUCCAACCCAAGACGAACUGAAAGAAAGCAUUCGCUGUUUCACUGAAAUGUUAGAGAGAGAAAAGGAAGGUGUGAGAAGUAUCCUUUCAGAAAUGGUCACCAAGAGAGAAAGCACAGAAAAUGAAUGGAAGCAGCAGUUUGAAUUGGACAAACGAGAGCUUGAUGAAGUGAAAGAAAAUCUGAGACACGACAGAGAAGAUCUGGAGAGAGAAAGUGAGGUGCUGAAUAAAGAGAAAAUGGAUUUGAAGGUGUUGAUGUCUGACAUCAAGAAACAAUUUGAAAUAUUGGAAGAAAAGAAACAAAAUAUAAAAGAAGAACGAGACUCAAUGGAAACCAUAAAGCUUGAACUGCUCAAUAAGAUGGAACAUGUAAACAGGCUGUUACAUGAGACAAAUGACGAAAAAGCCAAGAUUAAAAAUUGUAUCCUUCAGGUUCAAACGGAAAAAGAAAGACUUGAAGACAUUUUAAGCAAGAUUUUCUUAACACAUAAUGAAGAAAAAGUCAAGGAAGAUGAACUCAGAAGUCAAACAAAAGAAGUGAAAAUCAUGAAAAAGGAAUUACAGAGUGAAAGAGCAAAAGUGGAGAGUCUGAUGAGGAAUCUGAAGAAGAAGCAAGAAGAGCUUGAACGUGCAAAGGGAAUCAUGAGUGAAGAAAAAGAAGAGAUGAAAGAGAUGAAGACUGACAUUGCCAAAGAACAAGAACUGUUGUUGAAGGAAAGGAGAAAUAUGGAAGAAGAGCGGUCUGAGAUGGAAAUGAGAGGAGACCAAGUCAUGGAUGAAAUGAAAUUGCUAGAGAUUCUGAAAGUGAAACUUCAACAACUGAAGGAGGAUAUAAAAGCCAAAAUGGAGAGAUUACUACAAAAUGUUGACAACAGGUCAAGGCUGCAAACAGUGUUGAAAGAAAAACUUCCAACCCAAGAUGAACUGAAAGAAAGCAUUCGCUGUUUCACUGAAAUGUUAGAGAGAGAAAAGGAAGGUGUGAGAAGUAUCCUUUCAGACAUGGUCACCAAGAGAGAAUGCACAGAAAAUGAAUGGAAGCAGCAGUUUGAACUGGACAAACGAGAGCUUGAUGAAGUGAAAGAAGAUCUGAGACACGACAGAGAAGAUCUGGAGAGAGAAAGUGAGGAGCUGAAUAGAGAGAAAAUGGAUUUGAAGGUGUUGAUGUCUGACAUCAAGAAACAAUUUGAAAUAUUGGAAGAAAAGAAACAAAAUAUAAAAGAAGAACGAGACUCAAUGGAAAUCAUAAAGCUUGAACUGCUCAAUAAGAUGGAACAUGUAAACAGGCUGUUACAUGAGACAAAUGAAGAAAAAGCCAAGAUUAAAAAUUGUAUCCUUCAGGUUCAAAUGGAAAAAGAAAGACUUGAAGACAUUUUAAGCAAGAUUUUCUUAACACAUAAUGAAGAAAAAGUCAAGGAAGAUGACCUCAGAAGACAAACAAAAGAAGUGGAAAUCAUGAAAAAGGAAUUACAGAGUGAAAGAGCAAAAGUGGAGAGUCUGAUGAGGAAUCUGAAGAAGAAGCAAGAAGAGCUUGAACGUGCAAAGGGAAUCAUGAGUGAAGAAAAAGAAGAGAUGAAAGAGAUGAAGACUGACAUUGCCAAAGAACAAGAACUGUUGUUGAAGGAAAGGAGAAAUGUGGAAGAACAGCAGUCUGGGAUGGAAAUGAGGGGAGACCAAGUCAUGGAUGAAAUGAAAUCACUAGAGAUUCUGAAAGUGAAACUAAUUGCGAGGAAAUCCCUGAAAGGUGAACUGUCUGAUGUACAACCCAGAGAGGACAUCCUCAGUAGUGUUACAAUCUCUACAAGAAACCUUAUAGGAAAACUAAAUAGACUGAUUCAUCAAGACUUGCCGACAUAUAUUAAGAGAGUAGAGGGGGAAAAUGAAAAAAUAUUACAAGUGAUCUCCACAUAUGAACAAAAUUGGGUCAGAAUUUAUAAGCAGAAAAUUAAAAUUACUGCAGAUUAUGACAAGAUACAACAACAAAAGAAACAUGUGUUUAAGACAACAUUUGACAAAGCAAUCCAAACUGAGGAUGUUGUAAAACAAUGCUUACAUGAGCAUCAGGAUGAAGAGACCAAUGAACAUGAAUUUAAGCAGAGGAUGAAGGAUGUUGCAGUUAAUCUUGAAGGAAGCAAAAGAUACUUGACACCUGACAAGGAAGGUCUGCUGUUAGUAGGAGAAGGUGAAGAAUUUGGAAAUGUCAAGAAAACAAAUCUUGCAACGUUGUCCAUCUUGUCAGCAGAGGAAGAUGACUUCACACAGAAGGGAAUUUUAAAAACUGAGUUUUUGAAACAAAUCUGGAAGGACACUAGAAUAGAACGAAAUGAAAUAAAUCAGAUGAAGCUCAGAGGUCAAGAAAUGAGAAACAAUAUGGAUAAAAGAGUAAAGGUGAUCAAUCAUUUUGUUAGGAGAUCAAUAUUUCAGAAAGAAAAGACAUCAGUUGAGAAAACAAGAAAAAUGUUGGAACAUGGGCAAAGUAAUACGUUUUUAUCUGUAAGUGGCAGGGAUGGAGAACACAAAUCACUUGAUGAAAAAUAUACCGAGCUCCAACAACUUAAGGUCCGCAUGCUUAGUGAGAUUGAGAAAUUCUACAUACAAAACAAAGCGUCUAAGACACUGACAACUAGCAACAAAGCUAAUCAAACAGUUCAACUAGAUUCUCCAAAUAUCUAUCAAGAGCAAAUAAAGGUAGAAGAAUCUGAAGCAGCACCAGAGAGAUCUCCUGGACUCCUCAGUCAGCUCAGACUUUCCUGUUAUCGCUGUUGCUCCCGUUAUUGUGCCUACUGCAAGCAAGGAUGUAUAAAGAAAAAAUGAGAGGCAAGAAAAGUGCUACAUAAAAAUCAGUCCAUUUACCUUUUGUUUUACUUUUUAGUUAUAUUAAUAUGUGUGUAUUUGGAAAAUGUGUUUUUCCCGUUAAUCAUAUUAACCUAACAACGUAAGAGUACCAGUCUGAUGUCAAUCAUCUAAUUUUUAAACAACUAGUUAUGUAAUGUAAAAGUAUUCCUUUAACAUGUUAUUUUUUUCACAAAUGCAAAAUAUUAAAGUUUAACAGAUAAUCUUAACAUUUCUAAUUACAUUUUUAUGCUGAUUUCUAAUUAAUCUUCUUUCAACAUAUUUAUUCUGUUGUCUUGUGUUAGAAUACAGAAGCACAAAGAAUACAGUAAAAUCAAAACUAACAAGAAUAUUUGAAAACUGUGACUCCAUAUAUAUUCAUAUUUAAAUGAAAGAAAAAUGCAUGUUUAACAUAAAUUUGAUCCCUAAAUAAAUCUUUUUCCAAAACCAUUCACAUCACUGCAAUAUUUUUCUUUUGGUAAAUUUCGAAUUAUAUAAGAACCCAAUUGUUUGAAACAUUAUUUAAAUUAAUUACACAGUUAAUUGUAAAUUGACAAAUUAAAUAUAAAACUCAUGCCAUCUAAUUAUCUUCAUUGGG